UACGUAGGGGGCAAGCGUUGUCCGGAUUUAUUGGGCGUAAAGAGCGUGUAGGCGGCCAGACAGGUCCGUUGUGAAAACUCGAGGCUCAACCUCGAGACGCCGAUGGAAACCGUCUGGCUAGAGUCCGGAAGAGGAGAGUGGAAUUCCUGGUGUAGCGGUGAAAUGCGCAGAUAUCAGGAAGAACACCCGUGGCUAAGGCGGCUCUCUAGUACGGUACUGACGCCGAGACGCGAAAGCGUGGGGAGCGAACAGG
Molecule: ribosomal RNA, 253 nt
Filed under: uncultured bacterium
Lineage: Bacteria
Description: partial 16S ribosomal RNA
Rfam family: Bacterial small subunit ribosomal RNA
Source: RNAcentral